UACGUAGGGGCAAGCGUUGUCCGGAAUUAUUGGGCGUAAAGAGCUUGUAGGAGGUUUGUAGCGUCUGCUGUGAAAAUCCGGGGCUCAACCCCGGACUUGCAGUGGGUACGGGCAGACUAGAGUGUGGUAGGGGAGACUGGAAUUCCUGGUGUAGCGGUGAAAUGCGCAGAUAUCAGGAGGAACACCGAUGGCGAAGGCAGGUCUCUGGGCCACUACUGACGCUGAGAAGCGAAAGCAUGGGGAGCGAACAGGAUUAGAUACCCCCGUA
RNAcentral lists this ribosomal RNA (268 nucleotides) under uncultured prokaryote. RNAcentral's name for it is "partial 16S ribosomal RNA". It matches the Rfam family "Bacterial small subunit ribosomal RNA", at positions 524 to 792 of the family's 1533-position model. The record is from RNAcentral.